GAUGAACGCUGGCGGCGUGCCUAAUACAUGCAAGUCGAGCGAAUGGAUUAAGAGCUUGCUCUUAUGAAGUUAGCGGCGGACGGGUGAGUAACACGUGGGUAACCUGCCCAUAAGACUGGGAUAACUCCGGGAAACCGGGGCUAAUACCGGAUAACAUUUUGAACCGCAUGGUUCGAAAUGGAAAGGCGGCUUCGGCUGUCACUUAUGGAUGGACCCGCGUCGCAUUAGCUAGUUGGUGAGGUAACGGCUCACCAAGGCAACGAGGCGUAGCCGACCUGAGAGGGUGAUCGGCCACACUGGGACUGAGACACGGCCCAGACUCCUACGGGAGGCAGCAGUAGGGAAUCUUCCGCAAUGGACGAAAGUCUGACGGAGCAACGCCGCGCGAGUGAUGAAGGCUUUCGGGUCGUAAAACUCUGUUGUUAGGGAAGAACAAGUGCUAGUUGAAUAAGCUGGCACCUUGACGGUACCUAACCAGAAAGCCACGGCUAACUACGUGCCAGCAGCCGCAGUAA
Molecule: ribosomal RNA, 515 nt
Filed under: uncultured bacterium
Lineage: Bacteria
Description: partial 16S ribosomal RNA
Rfam family: Bacterial small subunit ribosomal RNA
Source: RNAcentral